AACUGCAAGAAGGGGACAAGAGGUUGUAGGUCACCGGACUGAGCAAGCCAUGAGCUGAGGGUGUGUACCCACUGCCCUUCUCUUUAUUAUAGGACCGUUUCCUGCACACUUACGAUGUCCCAGGUGCCAUUCUGUGCAAUGACUCUGAACCAACUCCUUUAAACCUGACUACCUGGAGGCAGGCACCAACACCAUCCCCGCUUUGUAAAUGGGGAAACUGAGGCAGAAACAGGUAGAGCCUGUGUGCUGAAGUCACGUAGUCAGGGAGGGUCACUCGAACCCAGGGGGCCUCUCUGGAGCCCCUUUCUCACCUCUCGUGUGCCCACGUUACUGCAGGACACAGGCCCAGCAUCCAGCCAGCCCAUGAAAGCUUGGCACAGCAGACAAGAUACCUUGCUCAGUACCCGCUCGCCCAUCAGGACUGUACCUGGGACUGAGGAACAGGUACUACAAGGGAAGAGGGGCCAGGUGAGAUCAGGUAUCCCCAUUACCCAGAUGUCGACUGAGGCCACCCAGAACCUAAAGGCUCCUGAUGAAACUCUCAUAUUGCUAAUUUAUCAUUGUUGACUUAGACUCUGGUCCCAUACAGCUUCGGUUGCUGUACCAAGGGGUGGCAUCUUACCGAAGAGACUACCAAGUGACCAGGUUGAGGUCAUGAAGCAGCCUCUUUUGCAAGUGACACGACAGAGAUGAGAGCGGGACACAGCAGAAGGGGACACCGAGGGACACAGGUACCUCCAGAGGCACAGGACAUCUUUGCAAACAGACCUCUGGGAAAUCUGCCUCACAAUUCACAGAUACAGCAAAGUCUGUGGAGCCUGGGUCUGCAGGACCAGCCCCACCUUCAGGCAGUGAGGAGAGUUAUGUGUCUGGCCCUGCCCUGCCCUGCCCUGUGACUCCAGUUACAGACUGACAGGACCCCCUGAGGGCUGCCGGGCUCCCCUCAGGCCACUGUCCAGCUGGUGUCUGAACCGUCAUGGAGUGGGGCAGCUGAGGGGAAACAAAUGGAGCCCUCAGCUGCCACCAUUCUCUGACAGAACCCUGAGUGGGAGUCCUGCCUCAGUGACCCUGUGCCUCAGUUUCCUCAUCUGUCCUGCUCCUGCUCACGAGGAGAAGGCAAGUCGUGUAUCGGGUCACAUUUCACACUGAGGUGCUGGCCCAGCAUUUGGAGCAAGACACUAAAUCAAAAGCUGGCUCCUCAGUGCCCUCAAGGGGAGCUGGGCUGGGGCAGGUUGUUGAGGAGACCUGGGCUUAGUGGGGAGAAAGCGGGUCAUUCACACUGAAUAGCUGAGCUGGGAUUUCUAUCUCUGCCCAUGGGCGUGACAUGACCUUAUCGAAAUGGAGACUUGGCCUCCUGCAGUGGCCCCCUACCUCCAGGUACUUGACCGGGAUCUUGUGCUUGGUGGCGUGGGACUGGGCCAGAGGCUGGAUCUCAGCAGCAUGUUGUCCCUUCUUCUUCAGGAUGGUACCCAGGGCUGUGAGCACGGUGCAGCCGUGCUUCUUCAGGUCCUCUGAACUCUUCAUCUCUUCCUCGGAUUUCAGGUU
Rattus norvegicus (Norway rat) is the source of this 1545-nucleotide non-coding RNA. Lineage: Eukaryota; Metazoa; Chordata; Mammalia; Rodentia; Muridae. The record is from RefSeq and is a predicted model, not a curated record.